Long non-coding RNA from Lytechinus pictus (painted urchin), 2642 nucleotides. RefSeq lists it as uncharacterized. Lineage: Eukaryota; Metazoa; Echinodermata; Echinoidea; Temnopleuroida; Toxopneustidae. The record is from RefSeq and is a predicted model, not a curated record. The transcript has 2 exons.
AACAGUUUUAUGCAACAUGCAAAUAUUUUUUAUUAUUUUAUUCUGUUCCUCUCUUUAAUGUAGCGUGUGUAUGAUCCGAAUGAAACAGAGGUCAACAAGAGCGUACUGGAGGAACUUGGUCUAACAUAGACAUACUUGGACUACCUUGAACUUAUCAUCAUCAACCCCAGUCUAUUUUCAGUGAUAUAUCUUGGGGGCCUUGCUGCCCCCACCCCAAUACCCCACUCCCCUGCUCACCACCCCCUGCAAAACUCAUGCCAUUACCAAUGAAGUAACAUGAUUCAUUGUUAUCUUAACCUUAUCAUGGAUGUUUUUGUUUUGUUUUUUCAUACACCCCUGAAAUGAUAAUGUGCUACCUAUAAUGCAAUCAAACAAAAAUUAUUUGUCUGUUGCUGAAAAAACCUGUUUUGUCAAAUUUCUGACCUAACCUAAAAACAAAGACAAUAUUUUGUCUGCAUCCAAUGUAAGAUAUCACUGUGAUGGACAAUUCUAUGUUCCACAUAAGCAAAUAGAAAAUUAAUAACAAAUAGCAUUUCCCCUCAAAUGAAUACAUUUUAUUGAUUGAUGUUGAUCAGAAAUAUUCAACUGUUCUGGGGCCCUUUGCAGAAAGAGAUGGGAUCAGACGCAACUCCAGAAAUCAAACACAGCUUAAUUUUCAACCAAUGAAGCGUGCAUAUUGGGAAUUGCGAUUGAUAUGUUGAGUUGCGUUUGAUUUUUUUUUUAAACAAAUCUUUUUGCAACAGGCCCCUGGAAGUCUCUUGGACCGUGCUACCACUCAGUCUGUAAUGGUUUCAACUUUCAUGUUUGUUUCUAUGGUUCAACAUGCUUUAUAAUGGGAGUAAAUUCAUUGUGAUCUGUCAGUGUGAACUGGAAUAUUGUGUGGAAAAAUGAUUUUAUUGUGAUCUGUCUGUGUGAACUGAAUUAUUUUGUGAUAAAAGUUUUAAAAAAAAAUCAUGACCAAACACCAAUAUUCUUCCUCCACUGUCUUGCUUCCUUAAUCAAAACGUUCUUUUGGCCACGUUGCCCUCUUUAUUCUUGCCUUCUUGGGAAAUAAUCCUAGAUAGUUAAGGCCACCGCACACCUUAUGAUUGGUCUGUGACCUGAUUUUGGUAUAAAACAUCUUGAAAUUUGAUGUGAAUAUUGAGACAUGGAACAUCAUACUGUGCAAAAUUUGAAAUCAUCAAAAGAAUGCUAAUGUUCAAAUCAAUGACUUUGCUACCCUCCUUAUUAGAAUUAAAGCAAAUUCAAUUAGUAAUCAGAGAAGUGGGAGUUACAAUGAGCUACGAUUUGAAAUCAAUUUUGCUUUUACUCCAAAAUAAAAGUAAUUAUCCAUAACUUCAGUAUUAAUAUUCCUCCAGUUAAUUAGAACCUCAAAUAAAAGGAUUCUAUUCAUUCAUAUUUUCAUAUAUUAGCAAAAUGCAAUUUGUUCAAAACUUAGAUUGUAGACUUGUCGUAAGGUGUGGGCUGGGCUUAAUGAUCAAAAUCUAUGUAGCCAUGUUCACACAACACUUGUUACGUGUAGCUCUGAAAUAUGAUUUAUCUUGAGCAAUGUUUACAUGCGAUCUAAAUAGGCUUGUUCACACUGCACAUCCCUUGGCCUAUUUCUUGUGUAUGGGAUUCUGUAACUGAAAUAAUCAUGGUGACCCCCCCCCCCACACACACACAAACUGAAAAACAAAGGAAAUUGCUUGAUUAUGCUGAAACGUCAAUUAAUAUUGACAUGAAAAUAGGUGAAGAUGUUCUUUUAUUGUUAAUUUAUGAUAAUAAUUCCAACCUUCUAAUCUUAGAAAAGGCUGAAUUUGUGUUCCAGAGAUAAUCAUUUCAAAUAAAUAUUUAAAAAAGAGAUGUUGCUUUAUUUAAAUGUUGUAUUGUAAUGUUCUGGUCACUUUGUCAUUUUCUUUAAUCAAGGAUCAAAUAAUAUCAUGUUAAGUCUAUAUGUUUGUAGAACCUUAUAUGUUGUGUUUUCAUUUACACAUCUGUAAACUGUUCUGACCUGACCAAAAUAUUUUCAGCACAGAAUUGAAUAUUAUAGUGAUCAGUAGUUUUGUACCAUUUCUUGUACUUGUAUGUUUGUGAAAAUUUUAUUCUGACUUGAAGUCACAAGAUGUAAUUUAAAACCACAUGUAGCCUAGUUCACAUAUUCACAAUUUGUGUAUUCUGAUUAUUAUUCUUAUCAGAUUUCAUCGUCCAUAACUGAAAAAUAUGACAUUCUUGAAUUGAACUUGAGGAGCCUUUUCUUAAAUUAAGGAUUUUGGUUAAGAGGUAAUUUUGAUUCAUGUACUAUUAUUAUUGCUUCUCUAUCUUCUGCCAUGUUUUAUUUUCUCUCUCACAAACACAUACAAUACACACCCAUUGUCUCUUUCUGUCUUAAUAUGUCUUUAUAGGCCUAUAUUUCUAUCUUUUUCCCCAACUUCUCACCAUUUUUCGUAAUUUUGAUAAUCAACUGCCAGUUUGCUGUAAGCAACAAGGAAACCUACUAACAAUCUUACAUAUAAAUGAAAUAUGAAAUGGAUUAGUAAAAAAAAAAUGUUUGGUAGAAUACAAAUAUGACAAGAUUUUUUCCUAUAUCCAGAUCACUAUAACUAUUAUGUGGCAUACUUGUCAAAUAUUGUAAUGUUAGAAUAAAAAAUCUAAAAAUUGAA